Paramuricea clavata is the source of this 262-nucleotide non-coding RNA. The record is from the annotation of a GenBank genome assembly. Lineage: Eukaryota; Metazoa; Cnidaria; Anthozoa; Malacalcyonacea; Plexauridae.
CCUGUUCCUCGCAAGACGUACACAAGCUGUCCACACUCAUUGGUGAGUUUUCUUUAUUUUCCGCACUAAUAUCAGGAAACAUUGGCUCGUUUGCCAUACUUAAUACCCUUUUUGUCCGAGACAACUUUUUUUAGUCAACUUUUCUGGUGAUAGAACUCAGUGAUAGAACUACAACGAUUCCUUGCAACGAUUCCAGUAAUCCACUGUCAAGGAAAUUUAUUUCCCUUCAGAAAGGAAAUUGUGACUUUUUCUAAUAAAAAUU